GGGCCCGUAGCUCAGUUGGUUAGAGCAGUCGACUCAUAAUCGAGAGGUCGCAAGUUCAAGUCUUGCCAGGCCCA
RNAcentral lists this transfer RNA (74 nucleotides) under Gracilimonas sp. Its description in RNAcentral is "tRNA-Ile". It matches the Rfam family "tRNA". From Rfam's summary of the family: Transfer RNA (tRNA) molecules are approximately 80 nucleotides in length. Their secondary structure includes four short double-helical elements and three loops (D, anti-codon, and T loops). Further hydrogen bonds mediate the characteristic L-shaped molecular structure. tRNAs have two regions of fundamental functional importance: the anti-codon, which is responsible for specific mRNA codon recognition, and the 3' end, to which the tRNAs corresponding amino acid is attached (by aminoacyl-tRNA synthetases). tRNAs cope with the degeneracy of the genetic code in two manners: having more than one tRNA (with a specific anti-codon) for a particular amino acid; and 'wobble' base-pairing, i.e. permitting non-standard base-pairing at the 3rd anti-codon position. RNAcentral also lists the same sequence under 2 other names. The record is from RNAcentral. Lineage: Bacteria; Pseudomonadati; Balneolota; Balneolia; Balneolales; Balneolaceae.